GGCGCGUGCGAUCCGGUCUGCCGCGAGGCGUGCACUGGUCGCGUGUGCCUUCCUUCUGGGGCGCGCGCGUGCCCUUUGGUGGGUGUGCGCGUGGCUCAGGACGUUUACUGUGAAAAAAUUAGAGUGUUUAAAGCAGGCCUGUGCUUGGAUACAUUAGCAUGGAAUAAUGAAGUAGGACUUUGGUCCUGUUUUGUUGGUUUCUUGGACCGAGGUA
Molecule: ribosomal RNA, 214 nt
Filed under: uncultured fungus
Lineage: Eukaryota; Fungi
Description: partial small subunit ribosomal RNA
Rfam family: Eukaryotic small subunit ribosomal RNA (bases 91-214)
Source: RNAcentral